This 255-nucleotide long non-coding RNA is filed under the name Mytilus galloprovincialis (Mediterranean mussel). The record is from RNAcentral. Lineage: Eukaryota; Metazoa; Mollusca; Bivalvia; Mytilida; Mytilidae.
AAAAUUAGUAUUUUUCAUCUUAAAAAUAACAAUGAUUUUACAAGUUUUUGAAAAAUAGAUAAUAAAACAAUUAUGUAUUAAAAUAAUGAAAAAAAAGUAGGGGUUAGUGGGCAAUUCUGAUAAAUGGCACCACAAUGAUAUCUAUAGAAUCCCAAAUAACUCAACAAAAACAAGAUAUACUUAAAUUAACAUAUCAUAAUCCUCCUCAACUCUUAGACCAGAUUAAUUCAAUUGUUAUUUUAUUUUCUUCACACA